GAGGAGCCUGCGUACGAUUAGCUUGUUGGUGGGGUAACUGCCUACCAAGGCGACGAUCGUUAGCUGGUCUGAGAGGAUGAUCAGCCACAUUGGGACUGAGACACGGCCCAAACUCCUACGGGAGGCAGCAGUGGGGAAUAUUGGACAAUGGGCGAAAGCCUGAUCCAGCAAUGCCGCGUGUGUGAAGAAGGUCUUCGGAUUGUAAAGCACUUUCGACGGGGACGAUGAUGACGGUACCCGUAGAAGAAGCCCCGGCUAACUUCGUGCCAGCAGCCGCGGUAAUACGAAGGGGGCUAGCGUUGCUCGGAAUGACUGGGCGUAAAGGGCGCGUAGGCGGAUGUCUUAGUUAGGUGUGAAAUUCCUGGGCUUAACCUGGGGACUGCACUUAAUACAGGGCGUCUAGAGUGGGAUAGAGGGUUGUGGAAUUCCCAGUGUAGAGGUGAAAUUCGUAGAUAUUGGGAAGAACACCGGUGGCGAAGGCGGCAACCUGGAUCUUUACUGACGCUGAGGCGCGAAAGCGUGGGGAGCAAACAGGAUUAGAUACCCUGGUAGUCCACGCUGUAAACGAUGUGUGCUGGAUGUUGGGCAACUUAGUUGCUCAGUGUCGUAGCUAACGCGAUAAGCACACCGCCCUGGGGAGUACGGCCGCAAG
RNAcentral lists this ribosomal RNA (652 nucleotides) under uncultured bacterium. RNAcentral's name for it is "bacterial SSU rRNA". It matches the Rfam family "Bacterial small subunit ribosomal RNA", at positions 224 to 892 of the family's 1533-position model. The record is from RNAcentral.